Dendroctonus ponderosae (mountain pine beetle) is the source of this 419-nucleotide long non-coding RNA. RefSeq lists it as uncharacterized. Lineage: Eukaryota; Metazoa; Arthropoda; Insecta; Coleoptera; Curculionidae. The record is from RefSeq and is a predicted model, not a curated record. The transcript is spliced from 2 exons.
UAUGAAAGUACUUUAAUAAUUUGUAUUUAUGUGCAUAGAUGAUAUUCUGGACAGCCCUUUUACAGCUGUCACCAGUACAAAUUCUGCAAGGGCCACACAGUUUCGAUGGUAAGGAGACUUAAUUUGAAAGCAGUAAGAGUUACACAGCAAAAGCAUUUGUCGCCUCACAACAAAAUUUUGUAUUAGGGCGUAAAGAAUUUGAAGAACAGGUGAGAAACCUACAUGUAAUUAUGUUAUCCAUACACAUACCUAAAUAUGUAUCUGCAUUAGUAAUUGUACUAAAUUAAUGAAUUUGUUUUGCUACUUUAAAUUAGGUAUUUGUUUAAUUUCUGAAUUUUUGAUUUAUAACAUGAUUUUGCUUCUUGAGCAAAUGUUUCUGGUUUCUAUAACAAACACCUUUCACAAUAUAAUGGUAAUUG